UUUUUUUUUUUGGUAAAGGUACAGUUGAACAAAGAGCCUAUUCAAAAAAUAAGGCCAAACCAAGAGAUCUCUGACCAAAGGGCUAAGCGGAAUAUGGAAGACCACCAACAGGAACAGGAGCCAAGUGUCACGAGACAAAUGGCCCCAGGUGGCCAGAUUAUGAGCCCUGUUAAAGAUCCCUGCUUUAGAGAAAAGAAGCCUGAGCUCCCCAGCCUCCACUCCCUAAUUCUGAGCUACACGGAGUUUUGUUCUCCCCUGAAUCUAUAAAUCACAUGCUCAUCAGUAUUCUAUUUCCUCUUGCCACUCCAAUACAUUUUGUGAUCAGUGCAGUCUCACCACCUCUUAGAGAAGACCAUAAACUCCCUCCUAAAUUGAUGACUUUGUACAAAAAUUGCCACCUCUUCCUUUGAUCCCUAAGGAUGGCACAGAGAGGGCCUGCGAGGUAAGCAGCACAGCACCUUGAGGAGGGGGAAGAAACCAACCAAUAACACCACUCCACCAAGCUCUGAUGUAGUCUUGCUAGAUAACUGUACACUCUCAAACUUCAGAAGAUCCACUUAUUCCCCAGUAGAUCCCAAGGCUUCAGAUAUCCAAACAAUAGUCUAAUUUCUCAAACUGAAAGACAACCGAAGUUAGAUGAAAAAUACUCUUUCAUAAGGAAAACAGCAUCUUUCCCAGAGAAGUCACCCCUUGACUACAAAGGAUUAUCAAUCUAAUCUAAUCCCCACACAACCACCUGAAUCCUUGAAGUUUUUAGGGUUCAACAAGGCCCUGGGCUUACCUUGUUUCUUAAACUAAAGUAAAUUCGUGUUGGCAAGUACUGAUUCGGAAGCAAACGGGAGUCAAAGUGCCACUUCUGAGGGGCUAUUUGGCCAGGAUUUCUAGAGCCUUGAUAGUCGGCUACUGUGCCAGCCUACCUCCUCCCCCUAAGUCACUUUUCUGAUGAUAAGGAGAAAGGUUCUUAAUCCUCUAAACCAGCUUUGCCUCAUAAUUUACAUUAAAUUUCUCCCUAGCCCAGAUGAGCAACAUUCUUGCCUCCUCUGGUCUUAACCCAACACUUUUCCUAAUUCCAGUUAAGCAUAAUAUAAGUACAAAAAACAAUGAAAAAUGGCAGUGGCAUAUGGGAUUUUAUUAGCAUUUGGGUUUAAAUUUGUUCAUUAAAACAAAUUCACACUGAUUUAAUUAAAAAAAAAAAAGUAUCACAAGAACUUCCAAAUCCAAUAAGUGGCCAAAUUUCAGUGAUCUACCCCCUUUUUGUUCCAGAGAUGCUCCCCUAGCUCAGUCUUCUGCAUCGGUCAUCCCAAAAUGCUGUGGUCUCUGGUCUCCCUGACUGCAGCGUCUUGCUCACUCUUUUAAUCAUUCUAUGCAUCACUUUGUCCUUCAUGAGUCAUCACAAAACAUUUUCUUACUAUGAUACCACAAAAAAAAUCCAAAAUCCUAAAAGGCUCCCCUGUGAGCCACUGAAUCAAGUGCAGAUUUCACAGCUCCGAAAUAAACCCGUUUUUGCCAAAAAACAAAACAAAACAAAACAAAAUUUUUUUUUUUUUGCUUACCUCCUUGAGCUACAUGGAGCCAAUAAGACAAUCUGAUACACUAAUAUGCCCUUGUCCUUUCCCUCCUGCAGGCCUCUGCUCUUACCCUCUCCUCUCCCUCCUCCUCCUUAAAUCCCACGACCUACCUCCCUAAUCCUCCCCCCACACACCACUCCUCCCGUCUCUCCUAUCAAACCUAAACCCUACCAAUCCUCCACAAACCCCUUCCACCUGGCAUGGGUUCUUCCUCAGAAAUACCAGUGUCCUCUACCUUACUAACUACAUUUAAAACAUUCGGUGGCCCAAAUUAUUAGCAUGUAUCUUAUUUUCCUGCCCCAUGGAAUCUUCCGAAAGGUAGAGACAACGUCUACAUUUGCUUCUUAUUCUCUUUACAGCACUGUAACUUGCAUUUGGCAUUCAGUCAAUAAAUACUUCCGGGAUAAAUGAACAAAAAAAAAUUAUGUCCCAAUUUUAUUCAUUUUCCAGAGUGUUUAUGAUUAAGUUAUAUCACUUAAUUUUUGAAACAAGCUAGUAAAGGAGAAAUUUGAAUUUCACUUUUAGAAAUGAAAAUAAAAAGCAGAAGCUCAAAAAGGACAGCAUGAGUUCUCCUGUGUCACACAGUCUCCAGGUUCCCUGAUUCCCCAGCAUGUCCCUCACCUGGACACCCACGGCUUCUCAUGGCAGCCAGAAAGGGGGUGCCAUCAUCUUCCCUUUCCGUGAAUCCACUGUUUCUGAGGAAUUCGGGCCAAAAUGGCCUUAAUUUUUCUCUUCUACCAAUGACCCAUGGCACAGUCAUUCAUAUGACCAUAAUAUUCUCAAGUCAACCUAUGAGGCUUGGGAGAAACACGUCUUGUUCUCUUCUUGGUAUCUGGCUGCCACCAGAGAGGCUUCUGCUCCUGCUUCACCCCUCCUCAGAGUAGCUCAUACUCUGGGCAAGACCCAGACUGUGCUAAACAUCAGUUCCUCAUUUUCAAAAGGGGAAGAACAAUAGUACCACUUCACACUGUAGUUAUGAAGACAGAGAUAGGGCAUAGACAUCACAAAUACUCGAUAAAAAGCGGUUAUUAAAAUUAAUGACAAUGAACAAAACCACAGAGAAUCAGAUGAUACCACCAACUCUGAAAGGCUUCCUUUGUAUUCCAGAAAAGCGCUGUAAUUUGGUCAUGAGGAAGCAGAAACGAACCAACGCCAGUUUAAGAGCUUGAAUAACCAAGUGGGGGGUGGGAGAGGGGGCUUAGUUUUUUUGGUGUUUAAAAUGAGGGUGCUGGUCUUUCCCAGGCUAACAUCCUAUGUGCUAUGAAGCAUUCCGUAGCAGGUUUUUCAUUUUUCUCCCCCACACAAAUAUUGGCCCUCUUUGGCAACCAAGCCCAGCGGAGUGCCCAAUAUGGGGAUACUUUUCUCAGUUCAUGUAACAGGCUGAAAUUAUUCAAAGUUUUGCCCAGAAAUAAUUUUAAUUUUGCUUCCAUUUAAAGAUCCCAGACUAGAUCUUUAUACUACCUCUGAACUCACUUAAGAGUCAAUUACUGUUUUCCCAAAGCCAAACACAGAUUAUAAAGCCUUCAAUGUUUUGAAUCUAAAAGUCAAAGGAAUUAUGGAUGAUGGCUUACUUUAAUACCAAAAAGUUAUUUCAACAUUUCAUGAUUCUAAUUUUGAUUAUAAUUCCCGGAGGAAGCACUGGAUUAAGUUCUAAUAGACUUCUUCUAAAGAAGCCAGUUUAAAAUAAAUUCCCAUUUUAGUCUCUCAAUUAGUGGAACUUUAAAUUACCUUUUCCCUAGAACAAAUAAAGAACUUUGAAGGAAAUGUAGAGCAUUUGUAUGAAGCACAGCACAGAUAUUGUUUUCAUGAAAUAAAAGGGAGCCUAAGAGGGGUUAAAGACGCCGCUGCAGCCUAAGAAGACCAACAGAGCUGAAAGGGUCUGAUGGCAGGAUGUGGGUUAUAACGCUCCUGAAUGAAAUCCUUUUGUGCAAGGGUCUUGCAAAGGGCAACCAGGCAGGACUGUGUGUUUGGAUUUAAAUUAAUCAACUGGUCAGUUCCACAAUGCUAAGAUUCCUUCUGUUUAACUGAUUUAGGCAGGUUUACAGGCAGUUCCCAAAUGAUGUCAAUAGCUUCUAAAAGGUCAAAUGCAGCCGCACACACCAGAUGCCCUAGAAUGAAAAGCACCAAUAACUUCGAUCUCUAUAAUUUGCUGGGUGUGACUUAUUAUACUGUGGGCUAUCCUUUUUUAAUCAACUACCCUGGUUUUCUUUUUCUUUUUUUUUUUUGCCCCUAAAGCUGAAACAGAUUUAUACAUUUUAAUGAUAU
This 3833-nucleotide long non-coding RNA is filed under the name Canis lupus familiaris (dog). Its description in RNAcentral is "lncRNA (ENSCAFG00000056589.1)". Lineage: Eukaryota; Metazoa; Chordata; Mammalia; Carnivora; Canidae. The record is from RNAcentral.